GCCCGGCUAGCUCAAUCGGUAGAGCGUGAGACUCUUACAUGUCAUCUCAAGGCUGUGGGUACGACCCCCACGUCGGGCU
Lasiosphaeria ovina is the source of this 79-nucleotide non-coding RNA. Lineage: Eukaryota; Fungi; Ascomycota; Sordariomycetes; Sordariales; Lasiosphaeriaceae. The record is from the annotation of a GenBank genome assembly.